GCUGAAAGCAUCUAAGCGCGAAGCUGGCCCCGAGAUGAGUCAUCCCUAGAGCUUCGAGCUCUCUAAAGGGUUGUYSUAGACUASRACGUUGAUAGGCAGGGUGUGUAAGCGCUGUGAGGCGUUGAGCUAACCUGUACUAAUUGCCCGUGAGGCUUAACCAUACAACACCCAAG
RNAcentral lists this ribosomal RNA (173 nucleotides) under Salinivibrio sp. IB872. RNAcentral's name for it is "partial 23S ribosomal RNA". It matches the Rfam family "Bacterial large subunit ribosomal RNA", at positions 2770 to 2925 of the family's 2925-position model. The record is from RNAcentral. Lineage: Bacteria; Pseudomonadati; Pseudomonadota; Gammaproteobacteria; Vibrionales; Vibrionaceae.